AUACGAAGGGGGCUAGCGUUGUUCGGAAUUACUGGGCGUAAAGCGCGCGUAGGCGGACUGAUCAGUUGGGGGUGAAAUCCCAGGGCUUAACCCUGGAACUGCCUCCAAUACUGUCAGUCUUGAGUUCGGGAGAGGUGAGUGGAAUUCCUAGUGUAGAGGUGAAAUUCGUAGAUAUUAGGAAGAACACCAGUGGAGAAGGCGGCUCACUGGCCCGAUACUGACGCUGAGGCGCGAAAGCGUGGGGAGCAAACAGGAUUAGAAACCCUAGUAGUCC
This 274-nucleotide ribosomal RNA is filed under the name uncultured bacterium. RNAcentral describes it as "partial 16S ribosomal RNA". It matches the Rfam family "Bacterial small subunit ribosomal RNA", at positions 523 to 796 of the family's 1533-position model. The record is from RNAcentral.